AUUUUCGGGGGGCUACACAUGCAGUCGAGCGGAUGAAGGGAGCUUGCUCCUGGAUUCAGCGGCGGACGGGUGAGUAAUGCCUAGGAAUCUGCCUGGUAGUGGGGGAUAACGUCCGGAAACGGGCGCUAAUACCGCAUACGUCCUGAGGGAGAAAGUGGGGGAUCUUCGGACCUCACGCUAUCAGAUGAGCCUAGGUCGGAUUAGCUAGUUGGUGGGGUAAAGGCCUACCAAGGCGACGAUCCGUAACUGGUCUGAGAGGAUGAUCAGUCACACUGGAACUGAGACACGGUCCAGACUCCUACGGGAGGCAGCAGUGGGGAAUAUUGGACAAUGGGCGAAAGCCUGAUCCAGCCAUGCCGCGUGUGUGAAGAAGGUCUUCGGAUUGUAAAGCACUUUAAGUUGGGAGGAAGGGCAGUAAGUUAAUACCUUGCUGUUUUGACGUUACCAACAGAAUAAGCACCGGCUAACUUCGUGCCAGCAGCUUAGGUAAUAAAAA
This 496-nucleotide ribosomal RNA is filed under the name Pseudomonas sp. Hu79B. RNAcentral describes it as "bacterial SSU rRNA". It matches the Rfam family "Bacterial small subunit ribosomal RNA", at positions 37 to 529 of the family's 1533-position model. Lineage: Bacteria; Pseudomonadati; Pseudomonadota; Gammaproteobacteria; Pseudomonadales; Pseudomonadaceae. The record is from RNAcentral.